Long non-coding RNA from Bombus pascuorum, 1696 nucleotides. RefSeq lists it as uncharacterized. The record is from RefSeq and is a predicted model, not a curated record. The transcript has 2 exons. Lineage: Eukaryota; Metazoa; Arthropoda; Insecta; Hymenoptera; Apidae.
GAUAUAGCUGAAACGUAUAUGAAGCCAAGCGUUACGUUCAUUUGUGUUUUUUCCCUCAAACGAAGAGGAAAUAAGUUGUGAAAGAAGGAGUAGCCUCUCAUAGUUUCUACAAUUUCUUCAUUCUCUUUGCUCUCUUCAAUAUUGCCUCUGCAAGUUUCUGUGGUUCACGAUAUUUGAAAUAUAUACAAUGUUACCACCGUGGAAAUUGUCUUGGAAACUUGGAAAAUCUUUCAAGAGGAACAACAUUGCUAACUGAGAUUCGAGAAAGGAAAGGAAAGUAAAUCCUUGCUUCUACUUCCAGCUUUUUUAUUUAUUUCUGACGAGUAAAGUACUCUUAUUGAAGUUUGUUUAAAAGUAUGAAGAAUGUCGAGAUAUAAAUAACCAUUUUUGGAAAGGUCAGCAGAAGCAGAAUUAUCGAGUAAACGUUAUGUAACUCUUAUUGAUUAAGUAAGAGGAGAAAAGAAAGAAGGAGAAAAGUCUUUUAUCUAGGUCUUAAUAAAGUAUACUAUACUUAUCCCCAUAAAAGUAUCAAGAAUAACAACAAGAUAUAAACAGUCUUCUAGAAAUUGAAUAUCUCAUGAUCAUGUGAUAACACACAGGAGGAAAAAAUAGAGGAAAAAAACAGUGUAAAAAGAAAAGUUGCGUAGGAGUAUCGUCGCACCACAUCGUUCGCCAAUUGAUGCACGUCAUGGCGAUCGUCACGGUUUAAAGCAGGCCAUCAAAAACACGUUUGUUAUCGUAUGGAAAAAUCUGCGACGUUCCAGCUGUUCAGGUGCAUCGAAUUGUGAAUCAUCGGCGGUACGAAGUGAGGCGAGGAACAGAAAUAGAGAAAGAAGAAAAGAAAAGGAUUCGCGUAAAUAAUAAAAUAUAAUCGUUCAUUCCUCGUCGAUGGCGGGUGGAUGGUUUUAAUCGUGGACGAUAUCGAUACGAUUAUAUUUUAUACAUUUGAAACAAAUAUAAAAGACGAGGAAAAAACCAGAGAUACGAUCGUUAUGAUAUUAUUCAAUCGGUAGCCUAUUUACCUCGUUUUUUGUUCACCUUCUCUGUCUAGUAAUAAUUUUUCGAUUCGACUGGCGUGACGUUACGUUGGCAGUGUAAAAACACGAUUUUAAACACCUGCGGAUAGUUGCAUGAGUUUCGAGCGAUUCCAUUCCCUUCGAUUUAUAUUUAUGCGAUCUACGCGCGUAUCGUUAACGCAUUAUGCAGACAGCAGAUGUUACGUAAUCACGCAUAUCGUAAUUGGAAAUUAGUAACGUUAUCGCGUACCAGGAUCUUCCUGUCUUCGAUCAUUGAGUAACACUUCGUUGUCCUCGCUCCUUCCGCGGAUAACCAGCGUUUAUCACAUAGAGACAGGGAUUUGCAAAGAAUAAAAGUUGUGGAACGUUGAAAGGCGUUGAGAGAAACGCGAUGUUAUCCCGUUACUCGUUAACGCAGUUAAAAAAUUCCUAUAGGAAGAUUACGAUAAUAGAUAAACUGGGUCGAGUGUUUGUCGAGAGAUCUGAAAGAUUCUUCCGAGUUGAGCGUCUGAGAUCGCAGAGAAGAAAAUUUGGAAGCCAUCGAAUUCAUGAUGUCGAUAAAAAUCUUCAGUUGGAAUCGUUGUAUCAUAACGUAGUCUCCUUAUUGUCGAUAAGACGCCGAUAUUUUAUAUUUUAAACGAAAAAAAGGAAGAAAAUAGAGACGUAUUAUUUUAAAGAGA